Molecule: long non-coding RNA, 2206 nt
Organism: Nycticebus coucang (slow loris)
Lineage: Eukaryota; Metazoa; Chordata; Mammalia; Primates; Lorisidae
Exons: 3
Source: RefSeq, a predicted model, not a curated record
UAAGAAAGUAUGAAAAUAAAAAAGUUAAAGGAGACAAUUUACACAUUACUGAAUGAAGAUGAGCUCUCAGGGUUAAAUGGAUAACUUAAUUUCUAUUAUUGUGUAUAAUUAAAUUUGCCAGUAUCUUGGAAAAUGUGGCAAAGGACUGUCUACAUGUCACAGCUAUUUCGAAGGAGGGAGAAGACUGCAAUCAAGUAAGUUUAAAAAACAUGGUUCAACUAAGUGACCUUGGUUUCCUCCAAACACCUUUCAGACUCUUGCAUAAACUAAUAUAACUGAGGUCUCCAAGAAGGCACACAGGAAGCAGAAUCCCCAUGCUCCUGCCACGGAGCUCUUUUAUAAUCUUUCACAGGUGUGGCAAGGGGAAACGCUGCUCUCCAGCACGCAGGCUUGGGGGCAGGAGUGUGCAGCCCAUGCUGUCCACCUGCUGUCUGGGGCACAGGGUGUGGUCAGGGCGUGGGCUCACAGCCUCACUGUCUCAGCAUGUGACCACAACUGAGGAGGGUGGCGAUCAGCUGCUCUCGGCCUUCACAAAGAACACAGCUGAAAAAAAAACAGGCUCAAGAAAAUCUCCUGAGACAGAAAACCUCAAAGGCUUGAACAGACUACGAAGGACAGCCUGGCUGUCACUGUGGGCACCAGUCUCGGAGAAGGCUUGGUGGAGUCCAGUGUAGUCAGAAGACACAUGAGGACCUACAGGAGAUGGCCAGCAAAAGCAGAGGGAAACUAGAUACUCAACAGUAGCACCAGUCCAAGAAGGAAGGGACUACAUUGGAUGAAUUUUAAAAAAUGCAGAUUAUGAGAGGCACAUGGUUACAGGACAUCCUAGAAAGAUGAAGAGAAAAUAUGGUCCUGAUGUGCCAACACGCUGAAGGGCUGCUUGUGAACGAGACAUCUGAACAUCUGUGCCCAAAGUGAUUCCUUCUUCAAACUGGAAUAAGAAUUCUUCUCUCUUGCUGCACUAUGAAGAGUAACAGGGCUCAGAGAAUGGCAAUGUGUGAAAAUAAGUAUUUUGAAGAAAGAGAUUCAGGUUUCUGUCCACAGUUCCUGAGUACUUAGCUAUGUGCCCUGGUGGAAGAACAGACUUGCUUCACCAAAGUUGGCUUAAAGUUUUGGUCAUACAGACGUUUUUACUGUAUGCUUAGCAAACUCCACAAGGUGCUUUAAGUAAGACAACCUCUUCACUGGCACAAAGUCCAUUUUGUAAUUGGAAAAUACUGUUAAGUAGGAGAGUCUGGAUCAGAACGUGCACUGCCAACCUUAUACCUGUUCAUGCUGAGACGCUAUCUUCGCUGUGGCCUGCCUGGGGGCCCAGCAGCUGUGAAGUUUCCACCCUGUACAGAUGGGUCGUCAAGUCUAUAUUGAACAAGGGGUCUGAUUCUCUUCAUAAAUAUUUAAAACAGUACUGUUUGAUUGAGAGUAGUUUUAAAAUAGCUUUGAUGUCAGAACAGAAUCUGACCAUGGUUUUACCACUAAGUAUGAUUUUGGGCAUCCAUCUUCACCUCUCUAACCUGAAUUUUUUCUAGGUGUAAAAUGGGGCUAACUUCCAUGUAAAAUUGGAGUUUUAUAUUUUUACAGUACCCAGCACAGUGCUCUGAACACAGUGGGUGCUCAAUAAAUGAGAACGCGUACUGUUGUGUUACUUUUCAAAUUUGUAGCAUUAAAAAACAGAUGUAUGCUCUUUAUUAAAAACACACUUUAUGUAAAUUCUCUCACAAAUCAAAUAUUAAGAAAUGGCUUAAUUAUAAAAGGAUUCUUAAGUAAAAAUUAAUAAUACACUUAAUUACAUAACAGGCAAUCAAAACUACGUGUUAAUUAAUUGUAGAGGGUUCUGCUGAAUAUAAUCAUGAGUUUGGCACAUCCUUAAGGAUAUGAAAAAUGAGGAAAGAGAAAAAUAAAAAGUCAAAGAUGUAGUGGCCCAGCUGAAUGAAAAUUAUCCUGGAAAGAAGUCAACAUGAAUCAACAGAAAAUAUAAUUUGGUUUGCAAAAAUUCAACUUACGUAUAACUCUGAGAAACAUUUUUAUCACUUAAAUAUAUUAAAAUCCAUAUUACCUAAAGAUAACUUUCUUCUAUUAAAAAAAAAAACUGGCUCACAUCAUUUUAGAAAUAGCAUAUUCUGAUUUGCCUUUCUUAAAAGAAUAUUUCUAGCAGAAGAAUAUAUUUUGACUUUAUCCAUUAUGCCUGGAGUACGUCCCUCUGGGCCCU